GACGUAAUAGCUUAAUAAAAGCGUCUCAUUGAAAAUGAGGAAGAUGGUUGCUUUUGCACUUUGGGUCA
This 68-nucleotide transfer RNA is filed under the name Mytilus trossulus (common blue mussel). RNAcentral's name for it is "tRNA-Phe". It matches the Rfam family "tRNA". Rfam says of the family: Transfer RNA (tRNA) molecules are approximately 80 nucleotides in length. Their secondary structure includes four short double-helical elements and three loops (D, anti-codon, and T loops). Lineage: Eukaryota; Metazoa; Mollusca; Bivalvia; Mytilida; Mytilidae. The record is from RNAcentral.